UUGUCUGUAAUGGCUAUUUUGUGUGAUUUGUGGCCUUUUUUGCUCUUGCCUGGAUAACUUUGUGCUUUUGUUUCAUUAAAAUCUUCUAACCUCAUUUGGAUCAUCUUCUUCAUCAUUCCUGACUGCCGGGUCAGUGCCUGCUCACGUUGUACCUGGUGGGUCAGUGCCUGCUCACGUCGUGCCUGGUGGGUCAGUGCCUGCUCACAUUGUGCCUGCCGGUUAGUGCCUGCUCACGUUGUGCCUGCCAGGUCAGUGCCUGCUCACAUCGUGCCUGGUGGGUCAGUGCCUGCUCACGUCGUGCCUGGUGGGUCAGUGCCUGCUCACAUUGUGCCUGCCGGUUAGUGCCUGCUCACGUUGUGCCUGCCAGGUCAGUGCCUGCUCACAUCGUGCCUGGUAGGUCAGUGCCUGCUCACGUUGUGCCUGGUGGGUCAGUGCCUGCUCACGUCGUGCCUGCCAGGUCAGUGCCUGCUCACGUCGUGCCUGGUGGGUCAGUGCUUGCUCACGUCGUGCCUGGUGGGUCAGUGCUUGCUCACAUCGUGCCUGGUGGGUCAGUGCCUGCUCACGUCGUGCCUGGUGGGUCAGUGCCUGCUCACUUUGUGCCUGCCGGUUAGUGCCUGCUCACGUUGUGCCUGCCAGGUCAGUGCCUGCUCACAUCGUGCCUGGUAGGUCAGUGCCUGCUCACAUCAUGCCUGCCGGUCAGUGCCUGCUCACAUCAUGCCUGGUGGGUCAGCGUCUGCUCACGUUGUGUAUGAAGACGUCAACUGCAUCGACAAAUAAAACGACUGUUUAUGACUCAGUGUCAGUUGUGAUGACAUACAGUCACAUCAAUCAGCUGCAUGAAGACUGCAGAGAAACUGCUGGACACGACCAAGACGGUAUUAUUAACAAUAAACAACACUAAUGUCUCGUCUUGAGUCUAACUGGAGCUGGAAAAUCUCUAGAUGCCUCAGGAUUCUCAGAUUCGGCCUCAUCUCAGAGAUGCAGGACAACCACCUAGUAAUACACAAACAAAGGACAACAACCAAAAAUGGGCUAAACAGGUGGAGACCCCAAUACAUAGAGAGAUAAAACAAAGCUGCAAACUUGACGAAAGUCACCUGGUGUACAUUGUGACCGGAGUCGUCCCAGGGAAGAACUGGAUAUCCAUAACAAGAGACGGAAAAGAAUAUCAAGAAGGAAUUAACAUUCCCAGUCAUUUUUGGAGCGCUUACUGUUGCACCAGUAACAAAGGACAACUCGUAGCGAGGGCCUACAUCGCUGAGCAGGAGAACUUUAAAGUCAAACACUCCAACAUUCAGUACCUGAAUACUGAGCUCACUAAACUGUAUAAUUCACCUUUCAGUGUGUUUCCAGGAUUAGACUUAAAGUAACAAGAAUACAGUGUGUGUGAGUACCUGCGUGCAUGUGUGUGUUCGAAUCAGCAACUUUCCUGUUAGAAACAUGUGAAAUCAUCAUAAAAAUGUAUCACUUUGUUGAGCUUCUUUUUA
Molecule: long non-coding RNA, 1487 nt
Organism: Tachysurus fulvidraco (yellow catfish)
Lineage: Eukaryota; Metazoa; Chordata; Actinopteri; Siluriformes; Bagridae
Exons: 4
Source: RefSeq, a predicted model, not a curated record